RNAcentral lists this ribosomal RNA (489 nucleotides) under uncultured bacterium. RNAcentral describes it as "partial 16S ribosomal RNA". It matches the Rfam family "Bacterial small subunit ribosomal RNA", at positions 30 to 506 of the family's 1533-position model. The record is from RNAcentral.
AUUGAACGCUGGCGGCAGGCCUAACACAUGCAAGUCGAACGGUAACAGGAAGCAGCUUGCUGCUUCGCUGACGAGUGGCGGACGGGUGAGUAAUGUCUGGGAAGCUGCCUGAUGGAGGGGGAUAACUACUGGAAACGGUAGCUAAUACCGCAUAAUGUCGCAAGACCAAAGAGGGGGACCUUCGGGCCUCUUGCCAUCGGAUGUGCCCAGAUGGGAUUAGCUUGUUGGUGGGGUAACGGCUCACCAAGGCGACGAUCCCUAGCUGGGCUGAGAGGAUGACCUGCCCCCCGGGACCGUGGCCCCGGCCCAACCCCCUACGGGGGGCAGCAGGGGGAAAUAUGGCCCAAUGGGCGGAAGCCUGUUGCAGCCACGCCGCGGUUAUGAAGAAGGCCUUCGGUUUGUAAAGUACUUUCCGCGGGGGGGAAGGGAGUAAAGUUAAUCCCUUUGCUCAUUGACGUUACCCGAAAAAGAAGCCCCAGCUACCUCCGU